This 308-nucleotide ribosomal RNA is filed under the name uncultured bacterium. RNAcentral describes it as "bacterial SSU rRNA". It matches the Rfam family "Bacterial small subunit ribosomal RNA", at positions 774 to 1073 of the family's 1533-position model. The record is from RNAcentral.
AGGAAAUAGAUACCCAGGUAGUCCACGCCCUAAACGAUGUGCACUAGACUGGAGCGGCUCUGACGUCGUUCUGGUCGUAGAGAAAUUGUUAAGUGCACCGCCUGGGUAGUACGGUCGCAAGGCUAAAACUCAAAGGAAUUGACGGGGGCUCACACAAGCGGUGGAGCAUGUUGCUUAAUUCGAAGCAACGCGAAGAACCUUACCUGGGUUUGACAUGCACGGAUUAACCGGUGGAAACAUCGGCCACACUCGCAAGAGUGGAACGUGCACAGGUGCUGCAUGGCUGUCGUCAGCUCGUGCUGUGAAGU